RNAcentral lists this ribosomal RNA (742 nucleotides) under Maribacter sp. MAR_2009_297. RNAcentral's name for it is "bacterial SSU rRNA". It matches the Rfam family "Bacterial small subunit ribosomal RNA", at positions 162 to 900 of the family's 1533-position model. The record is from RNAcentral. Lineage: Bacteria; Pseudomonadati; Bacteroidota; Flavobacteriia; Flavobacteriales; Flavobacteriaceae.
UUUAUUGCCCCGUAGUACCGUGACCCGGAAUCGGGCAACGGUUAAAGCCUUCGGGCGGUAUAAGAUGGCCAUGCGUCCCAUUAGCUUGUUGGUAAGGUAACGGCUUACCAAGGCUACGAUGGGUAGGGGCCCUGAGAGGGGGAUCCCCCACACUGGUACUGAGACACGGACCAGACUCCUACGGGAGGCAGCAGUGAGGAAUAUUGGACAAUGGAGGAGACUCUGAUCCAGCCAUGCCGCGUGCAGGAAGAAUGCCCUAUGGGUAGUAAACUGCUUUUAUACGGGAAGAAAAAAGAGUACGUGUACUCUACUGACGGUACCGUAAGAAUAAGGACCGGCUAACUCCGUGCCAGCAGCCGCGGUAAUACGGAGGGUCCGAGCGUUAUCCGGAAUUAUUGGGUUUAAAGGGUCCGUAGGCGGGCCGAUAAGUCAGGGGUGAAAGUUUGCAGCUCAACUGUAAAAUUGCCUUUGAUACUGUUGGUCUUGAGUUAUAGUGAAGUUGCCGGAAUAUGUAGUGUAGCGGUGAAAUGCAUAGAUAUUACAUAGAACACCGAUUGCGAAGGCAGGUGACUAACUAUAUACUGACGCUGAUGGACGAAAGCGUGGGGAGCGAACAGGAUUAGAUACCCUGGUAGUCCACGCCGUAAACGAUGGAUACUAGCUGUCCGAGGCCUUGAGUCUUGGGCGGCCAAGCGAAAGUGAUAAGUAUCCCACCUGGGGAGUACGUUCGCAAGAAUGAAAC